Non-coding RNA from Microcebus murinus (gray mouse lemur), 1322 nucleotides. Lineage: Eukaryota; Metazoa; Chordata; Mammalia; Primates; Cheirogaleidae. The record is from RefSeq and is a predicted model, not a curated record.
GCCGGUGCGACUGGGAAGUAGGACGUCUGGGGAGGUUGGGGGGGGUAAUGAGAGUUCUCAGGACAGCUGUUGAGGAGUUGUUGAGCUGUCAGCGCCACCACAGACGCUGCUGUCACCCGCGAUGUGCCCACCACUCCUUCGCUCCACAAGUGCCACUCGGGGUGGCUCCUAUGGACCAGCCCCGCCCAGGAGCUGGGGAGCAACACAGACGUCCCCACCCUCAGGGAGCCCACAGUGCCAUGUUUGCUGAAUGGAUUCCCGAAGGGGCUCAACGACCUCAAACAGACGCGUAGAGGUGGAGCCCUCCUUGGAGUGUUUCUGUGCCACCCAGGCUGUCCAGGGGCAAAUUCCUAGAUGAGGAAACUGAGUCUGGAGAGACUGGAUUCCUGGCCCCGGCCACCCAGGCUCAUAAGUGGCCAUGCUGGGACUCGGCCCAGCCCGUCCCUGCACAGUGGGCAGCCUACCUGCCAAUGCUGCUUGUUCAUUUGUGACUUGACUGCUUCCAGGAGGCAGUGUAGCAGGAUGGCAAGAGAACUGCCUCCAGGCCCUCUGUCCUUGACCGCUGUGCAACAGGACAAGUACUUCACUGCUCUGAACCUCGGUUUUCUCAUCUGGGAGAUAAGAUAUCGAUCAAGCGCUAAUGAAAUGCCAAACAGUGUUCUUGGUCCCCGGGACAGAGUGAAGAAAAGAACAAAAACCUUUGCCCUUGUGGAAUUUACCUUCUUUGGUGGGGAGCAGGACGAUAAACAAAAGACAAAUAAAAUUUAUGGUAUGUCAGAUGGCAGUAAGUGCCACAGAGAAAAAUGCAGCGGGGAAGAAGGGGAGGUCUCCAGUGAGAGAAGGGCAUGGCUAUGCGGGCAGGAGGAGCCCCUGCAUCUCUGCUAGAACCCAGACAAGGGUGGAGUGGGCAAGGUGCCCAGGACCCUGCACUGAGGGGGUCCUCGCCUGCUCUCAGGGGCUACAAGUGCCCUGGGACCUGCCUUCUGCACUUGCCCAUCCUCUUCCUCCACCCAACACCCCAAGAGUUAGAGAGCUCAAAGGUCCCAGCAGAGGGGUCCACGCGGGAGCCAGCCCUCUGCCAGACCACCGGCUGGAAAUAUCCCCUGGGCUAGCAGGCUCUGGACCAGCCCAGAUCAGUGGGGAAUGCGCUGCCGGCUCAUUACCCAGCCCUAAUCUGGGCGGCUUCUCUUUCUUCACUCCAAGAAAGAGAGGGAGCCGUGCAGCCUUUUGGAGUGGCCGGGGUCUCUCUGCCACAGACAGUCCAGGCUGGGGCUGGUCUUGUGGGGCCUGGGGAGGGUGCAGGCUAGGUGGGCAAGGGCUUG